GAUGAAGAACGCAGCGAAAUGCGAUAAUUAAUGUGAAUUGCAGAAUUUAGUGAAUCAUCGAGUCUUUGAACGCACAUUGCGCCUCAUGGUAUUCCGUGAGGCAUGCCUGUCUGAGCGUCAACAACACCACUCAAGCAUUGCUCUCUUGCUCUGCUUGGUCCAUGUCAGGGAAGCGGUUGGGCCUGUCCAACUGCCCCUUGAAAAGCAAUAGAUGGUCAGGUUGUCACCUUAAGCCAAACGUCAUAUGAUUCUUAUCGUUCGUUUGUCUAUCUGACUUCUUGACAGUUGUUGAACCCAACAGCACCAUGCUGUUUAUUCUGACUUGACCUCAGAUCAGGUAGGGAUACCCGCUGAACUUAAGCAUAUCAAUAAGCGGAGGA
RNAcentral lists this unclassified non-coding RNA (380 nucleotides) under soil metagenome. Its description in RNAcentral is "partial contains 5.8S ribosomal RNA, internal transcribed spacer 2, and large subunit ribosomal RNA". The stretch from base 1 to 120 matches the Rfam family "5.8S ribosomal RNA", at positions 35 to 154 of the family's 154-position model. The record is from RNAcentral.